UGGUUCAGGAUGAACGCUAGCGACAGGCCUAACACAUGCAAGUCGAGGGGCAUCGGGGCGAGGAGCAAUCCUUGCCGCCGGCGACCGGCGCACGGGUGAGUAACGCGUAUGCGACCUGCCCGCUGCAGGGGGAUAAUCGGGAGAAAUCCCGUCUAAUACCGCGUAAUGCCGCGGGGCUGCAUGGCCCUGCGGCCAAAGGGAGCGAUUCCGGCAACGGAUGGGCAUGCGUGACAUUAGCUAGUUGGCGGGGCAACGGCCCACCAAGGCGACGAUGUCUAGGGGUUCUGAGAGGAAGGUCCCCCACACUGGUACUGAGACACGGACCAGACUCCUACGGGAGGCAGCAGUGAGGAAUAUUGGUCAAUGGGCGCGAGCCUGAACCAGCCAAGUCGCGUGAGGGAUGACGGCCCUACGGGUUGUAAACCUCUUUUGUCGGGGAGCAAAUUCCGCCACGUGUGGCGGAGUCGAGAGUACCCGAAGAAAAAGCAUCGGCUAACUCCGUGCCAGCAGCCGCGGUAAUACGGAGGAUGCGAGCGUUAUCCGGAUUUAUUGGGUUUAAAGGGUGCGUAGGCGGACUGUCAAGUCAGCGGUAAAAUACGGGGGCUCAACCUCCGCCCGCCGUUGAAACUGACGAUCUUGAGUGGGCGAGAAGUAUGCGGAAUGCGUGGUGUAGCGGUGAAAUGCAUAGAUAUCACGCAGAACUCCGAUUGCGAAGGCAGCAUACCGGCGCCCGACUGACGCUGAAGCACGAAAGCGUGGGUAUCGAACAGGAUUAGAUACCCUGGUAGUCCACGCAGUAAACGAUGAAUACUAGCUGUCCGGGGCGAAUGAGCCCUGGGUGGCACAGCGAAAGCGUUAAGUAUUCCACCUGGGGAGUACGCCGGCAACGGUGAAACUCAAAGGAAUUGACGGGGGCCCGCACAAGCGGAGGAACAUGUGGUUUAAUUCGAUGAUACGCGAGGAACCUUACCCGGGCUCGAACGACACAGGAACGUACCUGAAAGGGUUCGGCUCUACGGAGCCUGUGUCGAGGUGCUGCAUGGUUGUCGUCAGCUCGUGCCGUGAGGUGUCGGCUUAAGUGCCAUAACGAGCGCAACCCCCAUCGACAGUUGCUAACAGGUCAGGCUGAGGACUCUGUCGAGACUGCCGGCGCAAGCUGCGAGGAAGGCGGGGAUGACGUCAAAUCAGCACGGCCCUUACGUCCGGGGCGACACACGUGUUACAAUGGCAGGUACAGCGGGAAGCCACCUGGCGACAGGGAGCGGAACCCGAAAGCCUGUCUCAGUUCGGAUUGGAGUCUGCAACCCGACUCCAUGAAGCUGGAUUCGCUAGUAAUCGCGCAUCAGCCACGGCGCGGUGAAUACGUUCCCGGGCCUUGUACACACCGCCCGUCAAGCCAUGGAAGCCGGGGGUGCCUGAAGUGCGCUGCCGCGAGGAGCGCCCUAGGGUAAAACCGGUGACUGGGGCUAAGUCGUAACAAGG
Molecule: ribosomal RNA, 1482 nt
Filed under: uncultured bacterium
Lineage: Bacteria
Description: 16S ribosomal RNA
Rfam family: Bacterial small subunit ribosomal RNA
Source: RNAcentral